This 2934-nucleotide ribosomal RNA is filed under the name Priestia aryabhattai. RNAcentral's name for it is "bacterial LSU rRNA". It matches the Rfam family "Bacterial large subunit ribosomal RNA". The record is from RNAcentral. Lineage: Bacteria; Bacillati; Bacillota; Bacilli; Caryophanales; Bacillaceae.
UUAAGUUAGAAAGGGCGCACGGUGAAUGCCUUGGCACUAGGAGCCGAUGAAGGACGGGACUAACACCGAUAUGCUUCGGGGAGCUGUAAGUGAGCUUUGAUCCGGAGAUUUCCGAAUGGGGAAACCCACUGUUCGUAAUGGAACAGUAUCUUUAUCUGAAUACAUAGGAUAUUGAAGGCAGACCCGGGGAACUGAAACAUCUAAGUACCCGGAGGAAGAGAAAGCAAAUGCGAUUUCCUGAGUAGCGGCGAGCGAAACGGAAUUAGCCCAAACCAAGAGGCUUGCCUCUUGGGGUUGUAGGACACUCUAUACGGAGUUACAAAGGAACGAAGUAAAUGAAGCGACCUGGAAAGGUCCGUCGAAGAAGGUAACAACCCUGUAGUUGAAACUUCGUUCCCUCUUGAGUGGAUCCUGAGUACGGCGGAACACGUGAAAUUCCGUCGGAAGCUGGGAGGACCAUCUCCCAAGGCUAAAUACUACCUAGUGACCGAUAGUGAACCAGUACCGUGAGGGAAAGGUGAAAAGCACCCCGGAAGGGGAGUGAAAGAGAUCCUGAAACCGUGUGCCUACAAGUAGUCAGAGCCCGUUAAUGGGUGAUGGCGUGCCUUUUGUAGAAUGAACCGGCGAGUUACGAUCCCAUGCAAGGUUAAGCUGAUAAGGCGGAGCCGUAGCGAAAGCGAGUCUGAAUAGGGCGUUUAGUAUGUGGUUGUAGACCCGAAACCAGGUGAUCUACCCAUGUCCAGGGUGAAGUUCAGGUAACACUGAAUGGAGGCCCGAACCCACGCACGUUGAAAAGUGCGGGGAUGAGGUGUGGGUAGCGGAGAAAUUCCAAUCGAACCUGGAGAUAGCUGGUUCUCUCCGAAAUAGCUUUAGGGCUAGCCUCAUGUUGUGAGAGUCUUGGAGGUAGAGCACUGAUUGGACUAGGGGCCCCCAACGGGUUACCGAAUUCAGUCAAACUCCGAAUGCCAAAGACUUAUCCAUGGGAGUCAGACUGCGAGUGAUAAGAUCCGUAGUCAAAAGGGAAACAGCCCAGACCACCAGCUAAGGUCCCCAAGUAUACGUUAAGUGGAAAAGGAUGUGGAGUUGCUUAGACAACCAGGAUGUUGGCUUAGAAGCAGCCACCAUUUAAAGAGUGCGUAAUAGCUCACUGGUCGAGUGACUCUGCGCCGAAAAUGUACCGGGGCUAAACGUAUCACCGAAGCUGUGGAUUGACAUCUUUGAUGUCAGUGGUAGGAGAGCGUUCUAAGUGCUGUGAAGUCAGACCGUAAGGACUGGUGGAGCGCUUAGAAGUGAGAAUGCCGGUAUGAGUAGCGAAAGACAAGUGAGAAUCUUGUCCACCGAAUGCCUAAGGUUUCCUGAGGAAGGCUCGUCCGCUCAGGGUUAGUCGGGACCUAAGCCGAGGCUGAAAAGCGUAGGCGAUGGCCAACAGGUUGAUAUUCCUGUACCACCUCCCCGCCGUUUGAGUAAUGGGGGGACGCAGUAGGAUAGGGUAAGCGCGCUGCUGGAUAUGCGCGUUCAAGCAGUUAGGCUGAUGAGUAGGCAAAUCCGCUCAUCAUAAAGGCUGAGCUGUGAUGACGAGGGAAUUAUAGUACCGAAGUUCCUGAUUCCACACUGCCAAGAAAAGCCUCUAGCGAGGCGGGAGGUGCCCGUACCGCAAACCGACACAGGUAGGCGAGGAGAGAAUCCUAAGGUGAUCGAGAGAACUCUCGUUAAGGAACUCGGCAAAAUGACCCCGUAACUUCGGGAGAAGGGGUGCUCUGGUAGGGUGUAUAGCCCGAGAGAGCCGCAGUGAAUAGGCCCAGGCGACUGUUUAGCAAAAACACAGGUCUCUGCGAAGCCGCAAGGCGAAGUAUAGGGGCUGACGCCUGCCCGGUGCUGGAAGGUUAAGAGGAGGGGUUAUCCUUUGGGAGAAGCUCUGAAUCGAAGCCCCAGUAAACGGCGGCCGUAACUAUAACGGUCCUAAGGUAGCGAAAUUCCUUGUCGGGUAAGUUCCGACCCGCACGAAAGGCGUAACGAUCUGGGCACUGUCUCAACGAGAGACUCGGUGAAAUUAUAGUACCUGUGAAGAUGCAGGUUACCCGCGACAGGACGGAAAGACCCCGUGGAGCUUUACUGUAGCCUGAUAUUGAAUUUUGGUACAGCUUGUACAGGAUAGGUAGGAGCCUGAGAAGCCGGAGCGCUAGCUUCGGUGGAGGCGUCGGUGGGAUACUACCCUGGCUGUAUUGAAAUUCUAACCCGCGGCCCUGAUCGGGCCGGGAGACAGUGUCAGGUGGGCAGUUUGACUGGGGCGGUCGCCUCCUAAAAUGUAACGGAGGCGCCCAAAGGUUCCCUCAGAAUGGUUGGAAAUCAUUCGUAGAGUGUAAAGGCACAAGGGAGCUUGACUGCGAGACCUACAAGUCGAGCAGGGACGAAAGUCGGGCUUAGUGAUCCGGUGGUUCCGCAUGGAAGGGCCAUCGCUCAACGGAUAAAAGCUACCCCGGGGAUAACAGGCUUAUCUCCCCCAAGAGUCCACAUCGACGGGGAGGUUUGGCACCUCGAUGUCGGCUCAUCGCAUCCUGGGGCUGUAGUCGGUCCCAAGGGUUGGGCUGUUCGCCCAUUAAAGCGGUACGCGAGCUGGGUUCAGAACGUCGUGAGACAGUUCGGUCCCUAUCCGUCGUGGGCGUAGGAAAUUUGAGAGGAGCUGUCCUUAGUACGAGAGGACCGGGAUGGACACACCGCUGGUGUACCAGUUGUCUUGCCAAAGGCAUCGCUGGGUAGCUAUGUGUGGACGGGAUAAGUGCUGAAAGCAUCUAAGCAUGAAGCCCCCCUCAAGAUGAGAUUUCCCAUAGCGCAAGCUAGUAAGAUCCCUGAAAGAUGAUCAGGUUGAUAGGUCAGAGGUGGAAGCGUGGCGACAUGUGUAGCUGACUGAUACUAAUCGAUCGAGGACUUAACCAA